Molecule: unclassified non-coding RNA, 172 nt
Filed under: Bacillus subtilis
Lineage: Bacteria; Bacillati; Bacillota; Bacilli; Caryophanales; Bacillaceae
Description: 16S-23S ribosomal RNA intergenic spacer
Source: RNAcentral
CUAAGGAUAUUAUACGGAAUAUAAGACCUUGGGUCUUAUAAACAGAACGUUCCCUGUCUUGUUUAGUUUUGAAGGAUCAUUCCUUCGAAACGUGUUCUUUGAAAACUAGAUAACAGUAGACAUCACAUUCAAGUAAUACAAGAUAUCACAUAGUGAUUCUUUUUAACGGUUA